UGCUUGCCUCAGUUUCAAAAAUUACUAGUUGUCUCUGCACCACACCAUUAACAGCCCUUGUGUAAAUUAGCUUGUAUCAUCAAAUAGAUUUUUUAUUAUUAAUUUAUGCAACGAACAUUUUAAUAAUAUUUUAGUAUAAUUCAUGUGUCCUGUUUUACUAAUUUGGCAUUGACAUUAUACAAUACACUUUCUCUAGCUGUUGUUUUUAGUUAGAAAAUUAACAAGGUGAAGAAAUAAUCAGUAUUACCGAAGAAAAUGAAAUCUAUGAGCUUUGGAACUGAUACACUGCCAAAAGAUUCGAGGGGGAGGAGGGAGGCGGGGCGGAAGGGUAUGAUGAGUAAGAGCUCGCGCAAGCGCAGAAGGAAAUGCAUCGCUGCGGAGAGGGUGGGAGGAGGGAAAGUCUUUUGCGUCCUCGCUUUCCGGAUUGUCGAAAAGUUGCCUAAGUGUCGCGCUGGCUGUGGUGGGGGAGGGAUUGGCUGAGGCGGCGGCGGCGGCGCGGUUCGCGGACUGCGCAGUCCAAGACAGAAACGAUCGCAGGCGGCGGUGGGACUGAGCUCCGGGCUCUGCGCCGGGCCAGGCUGGGCUUGCUGGGCUGGCCCUGUACAACGCCUCUUCCCGGCUCGUCUCGGGGAAGUGCCAGUGACAGACGCUGCUCGAGACCGUCGGGGCCUGUGGGGUCAAGGGGAGCAGCGCGGAUUCUUAGCUGCCAACGCCCCCUUUACAUCCCCUGUCCUCCCUCAUGGGCCGGUGAUUCCCCGGAACCGGGGGAAGGGGGUGGCCAGUGCCUAAGAGAUUUUGUCAAAGUCAGUGGCAGUGCUGCUGCAGUGGGAAUAUCUACCCUCAACUGCAGGAUAAGAGAUGAAGAAACUGGGGCUGAUUAAGAUUAAGUGACUUGCCCAGCAUUGCAGAGCUCUUUGGUAAGUAUCUAAAGCAAGAUUCCAAUUCAGAUCUUCCUGACUCCAUAUUGAUUGCUAUCCAUUGAUGCUACCUAGUUGAUUCAGAUAAUUCACUAAAAUUUUUUAGUAAAUUUCAAAAUAUUCAUCUUAAUACUAUGACUAAAUAAUGAUCCAGCAUGAGUAGGGGUUGUCAAGAGACCAGAACCAGGAGAAUACAAUGUCAACUAAUAACCAGGGAAGACUGUGGAGGAGGAAGAAGUGGAUGGCAGGUCAGGGAGGAUGAGGCCCAAAAAAGGCCAUUUGAUAUAUGAGUUAAAGAUGAUUGGUAGCCUUGAAGGAAGCAUUUUUACUAGAGUAGUGAGUUUGAAAGUCUAAUUAAAAGAUGGUUAAGAAGUGAGUAUUGAGGAAAUCAAGGCAGCUACUAUAGACAAACUUUCUAUAAGAGCUUGGCAAUGAAAGUGAGGAGAAAUGUAAAGCCAUAGCUUGUAGGAAUGACACGGCCAAGGAAAGGAUUUUUUUAAGCUUGUGAGAUAUCCUGAGCAUGUUUGUGGACAAUCUUCUUUGGUAGAUAGGGGCAGAUGAAAGAUGAAAAAGGAAUGAUUGGUGUAGAACAUUCCCCAGGAAAGUAUGAGGUAUGGGGCACAAAUAGAAUAACAUGGGAAAGUAGUGGUCUAAUCCUCAGAGAUUAGACCAUAUACAGUGAGGACAAGUGAACAUCUUAUUGGAUUUUUGAAGUGUGGGUUAGGGAAGAUGAGGGUUCCCAUGACAUCCUCAGUUUUGUCAGUGGAGUGGCAAGCAAGCAAUCUAAGAAACAGGUAUUUGGGGACUGGAGGAGGAGGUUUGGAACAGCUUCUGUGAGGUACAAGAGAGUCUAUCUGCUAUGUAGCAGUGAGAAGCCAGUUGAAAUUAUAUAACUUGAAUUUAUGGUGUACCCAUUUAAUAUGGCUAUGUUACUUCCUUCAGUGUUCUGCAGUAAUAGUGAAAAAGCAAUGGCAACCUUAGUGAUUGGCAAAGGGAUUCAAGAAUAGAGGACAGGGCAUGGUUAAACUGGCUGAUCAUGUUAUCGAGUGUAUAAAUGGAAGAAAGUGAGGUCAGAGCCUGAAUGUUGUUGGACAAAGGGAGCAGGAAGGAUUGGAGAAUAUAGUGAGGGCAAAUAGAUUUAGGAGGUAUGAAGGAGAGGAAAAGAUUGAAGGACAGUUGGUUGGACAAUAGAUUAUAAGAGGAUGGAAUUUCAGAGUUCAAAAUCAUGGAGGUGGUGAGGUUUAGGGUGUGACCACUUGGAGAAGUUGCUGAGGUAGAGGACAAGGUCAUGGGAGUUAAAGAGGUUGAUGAGUGGAAGACUAGCAUGUUCAGUGGAGUAAUGAAGAUUGAACCCCCAGGUGAGAAGAUACAUGGUGAGAUGAAGGAGAUCAAUCAAGGUACGGAAUGGAAGUAGUGAGUUACCAGGAGAUGGGCAAGUUAACAGCAAGAAAUUUUGAUCUAAUGUUGGAAGCCAUUUAUGAAAAGUUCCUAAAAUAAAGAACUCAAAACAAGACAACAGCUUUUAUAGUCUUUACUCAUAUACUAGUCAGUGAUUGAGUCAAAACUGAGACCUGGAUUAAGGGAAGAAUGAUUUGGUUUUCUAGUCAAGAGUUGUAUAUUGGGAUUUGGGGAAAAUUAAAGAUUGUACUUGAGUAUAAGGAAAAGUAAAUUGUGGAUCAAUUAAUUUUAAUACUAGCAGUGAAUAUUUUGAGGAUAAAAGUUGAAACUUAAGGUGAGAUUGUUGUAAUUCUGUGUAAUUUCACUUAAAACAUUCCGGAUAUGUUUCAUUUCUACGAAAUUGACUACAUAAAUAGAAUACUUUUUAAUGCAAUAAUAAAAAUAAAAUAUAUGAUUGAAAAAGUAGAUGCCCAGACAUUGUGAUGACGCCAGGCAAUGAACGCCUUAAGAACUCCCCUCCGCCCAUAACACCUUUAUAGGAAGGCAUGGAUGAGAAUCACGCAAGAGGGUACUGCUCUUGUGCAGGCAUGGACUGAUCUGCAUGGAUUCAGGGAAUAUAUAGAUAGAUUAAAUCGUACAUCCAUUUGACUGUAACAUAAAGUCUGUAAUGAACAAUUGACUAAUUUGUGCUUUCAUUAUUGUGGAUCUUCCUUGUUCUGGUGCUGAUCUCAACCU
Non-coding RNA from Phascolarctos cinereus (koala), 3050 nucleotides. The record is from RefSeq and is a predicted model, not a curated record. NCBI's taxonomy places the organism in Eukaryota, Metazoa, Chordata, Mammalia, Diprotodontia, Phascolarctidae.